CCCGAGUGCGGCCACUAUUAUUGGGCCUAAAGCGUCCGUAGCCGGGUUGGUAAGUCCCCCGGGAAAUCUGGUCGCUCAACGAUCAGACUGCCGGGGGAUACUGCCAGCCUAGGGACCGGGAGAGGCCGAGGGUAUUCCCGGGGUAGGGGUGAAAUCCUGUAAUCCCGGGAGGACCACCUGUGGCGAAGGCGCUCGGCUGGAACGGGUCCGACGGUGAGGGACGAAGGCCUGGGGAGCGAACCGGAUUAGAUACCCGGGUAGUCCAGGCUGUAAACGAUGCGGGCUAGGUGUCACUGGAGCUACGAGCUCUGGUGGUGCCGGAGGGAAGCCGUUAAGCCCGCCGCCUGGGAAGUACGGCCGCAAGGCUGAAACUUAAAGGAAUUGGCGGGGGAGCACUACAACGGGUGGAGCCUGCGGUUUAAUUGGAUUCAACGCCGGGAAGCUCACCGGGGGAGACAGCUGGAUGAAGGUCGGGCUAAAGACCUUACCAGACUAGCUGAGAGGUGGUGCAUGGCCGCCGUCAGUUCGUACUGUGAAGCAUCCUGUUAAGUCAGGCAACGAGCGAGACCCGCGCCCUCAGUUGCCAGCGGAUCCCUUCGGGGAUGCCGGGCACACUGGGGGGACUGCCGGCGCUAAGCCGGAGGAAGGUGCGGGCAACGGCAGGUCCGUAUGCCCCGAAUCCCCCGGGCUACACGCGGGCUACAAUGGCCGGGACAAUGGGUACCGACUCCGAAAGGAGUAGGUAAUCUCCUAAACCCGGUCUAACCUGGGAUCGAGGGCUGCAACUCGCCCUCGUGAACCUGGAAUCCGUAGUAAUCGCGUCUCAAAAUGGCGCGG
Molecule: ribosomal RNA, 837 nt
Filed under: uncultured archaeon
Lineage: Archaea
Description: bacterial SSU rRNA
Rfam family: Archaeal small subunit ribosomal RNA
Source: RNAcentral